CCGGGAAAAAUAAAGACUAAGCUUAGCUAGCUUUCUUCCUGACUUGAUAGAGUUUUGAAAUUUACGACACCAGACAAGAGGGAGCGGACAAACCUGAUGAAUAAAAUGGUUAAUUGGGUCAAUUUGUUGUUUUUUUAUUUUUUCUACCAAUCUCUUGAAGGGAUGACUUGAAAGAAAAGAGGCCAAAGCUGUUAUCUCUGUGACCCCCCACCUUGUGAAGCAAGCUCAACCUGAAUCCACCAAAUGUCAGAGGAAAAGCCUAGUUGUUCUGUUCACAAUCUGCAUCAAUAAACUGCACACUGCAAAACUGAUGCAAUUUUAGAAGGCAAAUGGGAUACUACUGAAUAAGAUACAUUUGAGACCUACUAUGGCGUAUCCUUAUAAUUUCCAAGGAAACCUGGCUAUAAUUACAAUCGAAAACAUACAAAAUCCUCUUUCAAGUCAUCAGUUCAAAAGUCCCACUUCAAACAUAUCCAUAAUAAACAAGGGCUCAAGCCUCAAUUCUCUUUAUGCCAACAAGGAGAAGACUAAAUAAUAACCAGAUGCUUAACUAUAUUAAAAAAGGACAAAGAAAUAGGGGCAGUAAUAAAAGAAAGAACAAGUAUCUAUGUCAAUUUAAACACCUACACUUCAUGA
Molecule: long non-coding RNA, 636 nt
Filed under: Musa acuminata (dwarf banana)
Lineage: Eukaryota; Viridiplantae; Streptophyta; Magnoliopsida; Zingiberales; Musaceae
Description: long non-coding RNA (MACU_LNC005504)
Source: RNAcentral